RNAcentral lists this transfer RNA (77 nucleotides) under Clostridia bacterium. RNAcentral describes it as "tRNA-Cys". It matches the Rfam family "tRNA". From Rfam's summary of the family: Transfer RNA (tRNA) molecules are approximately 80 nucleotides in length. Their secondary structure includes four short double-helical elements and three loops (D, anti-codon, and T loops). The record is from RNAcentral. Lineage: Bacteria; Bacillati; Bacillota; Clostridia.
GGUCAAAUGCCCGAGUGGUCUAAGGGGGCGGCCUGCAAAGUCGUUAUACAUUGGUUCGAAUCCAAUUUUGACCUCCA